This 1078-nucleotide ribosomal RNA is filed under the name Kocuria sp. Its description in RNAcentral is "bacterial SSU rRNA". It matches the Rfam family "Bacterial small subunit ribosomal RNA", at positions 42 to 1131 of the family's 1533-position model. Lineage: Bacteria; Bacillati; Actinomycetota; Actinomycetes; Micrococcales; Micrococcaceae. The record is from RNAcentral.
GGGCGGGUGCUACCUGCAGUCGAACGAUGAUGCCCAGCUUGCUGGGCGGAUUAGUGGCGAACGGGUGAGUAAUACGUGAGUAACCUGCCCUUGACUCUGGGAUAAGCCUGGGAAACUGGGUCUAAUACUGGAUACUACCUCUUACCGCAUGGUGGGUGGUGGAAAGGGUUUUACUGGUUUUGGAUGGGCUCACGGCCUAUCAGCUUGUUGGUGGGGUAAUGGCUCACCAAGGCGACGACGGGUAGCCGGCCUGAGAGGGUGACCGGCCACACUGGGACUGAGACACGGCCCAGACUCCUACGGGAGGCAGCAGUGGGGAAUAUUGCACAAUGGGCGGAAGCCUGAUGCAGCGACGCCGCGUGAGGGAUGACGGCCUUCGGGUUGUAAACCUCUUUCAGUAGGGAAGAAGCGAGAGUGACGGUACCUGCAGAAGAAGCGCCGGCUAACUACGUGCCAGCAGCCGCGGUAAUACGUAGGGCGCAAGCGUUGUCCGGAAUUAUUGGGCGUAAAGAGCUCGUAGGCGGUUUGUCGCGUCUGCUGUGAAAGCCCGGGGCUCAACCCCGGGUCUGCAGUGGGUACGGGCAGACUAGAGUGCAGUAGGGGAGACUGGAAUUCCUGGUGUAGCGGUGAAAUGCGCAGAUAUCAGGAGGAACACCGAUGGCGAAGGCAGGUCUCUGGGCUGUUACUGACGCUGAGGAGCGAAAGCAUGGGGAGCGAACAGGAUUAGAUACCCUGGUAGUCCAUGCCGUAAACGUUGGGCACUAGGUGUGGGGGACAUUCCACGUUUUCCGCGCCGUAGCUAACGCAUUAAGUGCCCCGCCUGGGGAGUACGGCCGCAAGGCUAAAACUCAAAGGAAUUGACGGGGGCCCGCACAAGCGGCGGAGCAUGCGGAUUAAUUCGAUGCAACGCGAAGAACCUUACCAAGGCUUGACAUUCACCGGACCGCCCCAGAGAUGGGGUUUCCCUUCGGGGCUGGUGGACAGGUGGUGCAUGGUUGUCCUCAGCUCGGGUCGGGAAAUGUUGGGUUAAGUCCCGCAACGAGCGCAACCCUCGUUCAUGUUGCCCAACCUGAUGGUG